CGGAACGUGCCCAGUAGCGGGGGAUAACUACGCGAAAGCGUAGCUAAUACCGCAUACGCCCUACGGGGGAAAGGGGGGGAUCGUAAGGCCUCUCACUAUUGGAGCGGCCGAUAUCGGAUUAGCUAGUUGGUGAGGUAAAGGCUCACCAAGGCGACGAUCCGUAGCUGGUUUGAGAGGACGACCAGCCACACUGGGACUGAGACACGGCCCAGACUCCUACGGGAGGCAGCAGUGGGGAAUUUUGGACGAUGGGGGAAACCCUGAUCCAGCCAUUCCGCGUGUGCGAUGAAGGCCUUCGGGUUGUAAAGCACUUUUGGCGGGAAAGAAAUCGGUCGGGCUAAUACCCUGACCGGAUGACGGUACCCGCAGAAUAAGCACCGGCUAACUACGUGCCAGCAGCCGCGGUAAUACGUAGGGUGCAAGCGUUAAUCGGAAUUACUGGGCGUAAAGCGUGCGCAGGCGGUUCGGAAAGAAAGAUGUGAAAUCCCAGGGCUCAACCUUGGAACUGCAUUUUUAACUACCGGGCUAGAGUGUGUCAGAGGGGGGUGGAAUUCCGCGU
Molecule: ribosomal RNA, 559 nt
Filed under: uncultured bacterium
Lineage: Bacteria
Description: bacterial SSU rRNA
Rfam family: Bacterial small subunit ribosomal RNA
Source: RNAcentral